UGCGUAGGCGGAACGAUUAGUCAGUGGUGAAAUCCUACGGCUCAACUGUAGAAUUGCCAUUGAAACUGUCGCUCUUGAGUAUAGUUGAAGUGGGCGGAAUGUGUCAUGUAGCGGUGAAAUGCAUAGAGAUGACACAGAACACCAAUCGCGAAGGCAGCUCACUAAACUAUAACUGACGCUCAGGCACGAAAGCGUGGGUAGCGAACAGGAUUAGAUACCCUGGUAGUCC
RNAcentral lists this ribosomal RNA (229 nucleotides) under uncultured bacterium. Its description in RNAcentral is "partial 16S ribosomal RNA". It matches the Rfam family "Bacterial small subunit ribosomal RNA", at positions 568 to 796 of the family's 1533-position model. The record is from RNAcentral.